This 305-nucleotide ribosomal RNA is filed under the name uncultured bacterium. Its description in RNAcentral is "bacterial SSU rRNA". It matches the Rfam family "Bacterial small subunit ribosomal RNA", at positions 336 to 657 of the family's 1533-position model. The record is from RNAcentral.
UUCCUACGGGACGCAGCAGUGGGGAAUAUUGCACAAUGGGGGAAACCCUGAUGCAGCAACGCCGCGUGAGUGAAGAAGCGUUUCGGCGCGUAAAGCUCUGUCAGCGGGGAAGAAAGAAGACGGUACCCGACCAAGAAGCCCCGGCUAACUACGUGCCAGCAGCCGCGGUAAUACGUAGGGGGCGAGCGUUAUCCGGAAUUACUGGGUGUAAAGGGAGCGUAGACGGCGAAGUAAGCCUGAAGUGGAAGCCCGCGGCCCAACCGCGGAACUGCUUUGGGAACUGUUUUGCUGGAGUAUGGGAGGGG